RNAcentral lists this ribosomal RNA (253 nucleotides) under uncultured Microcystis sp. RNAcentral describes it as "partial 16S ribosomal RNA". It matches the Rfam family "Bacterial small subunit ribosomal RNA", at positions 524 to 776 of the family's 1533-position model. Lineage: Bacteria; Bacillati; Cyanobacteriota; Cyanophyceae; Chroococcales; Microcystaceae. The record is from RNAcentral.
UACGGGGGAGGCAAGCGUUAUCCGGAAUUAUUGGGCGUAAAGCGUCCGCAGGUGGUCAGCCAAGUCUGCUGUCAAAUCAGGUUGCUUAACGACCUAAAGGCGGUAGAAACUGGCAGACUAGAGAGCAGUAGGGGUAGCAGGAAUUCCCAGUGUAGCGGUGAAAUGCGUAGAGAUUGGGAAGAACAUCGGUGGCGAAAGCGUGCUACUGGGCUGUAUCUGACACUCAGGGACGAAAGCUAGGGGAGCGAAAGGG